Long non-coding RNA from Hyla sarda, 876 nucleotides. RefSeq lists it as uncharacterized. NCBI's taxonomy places the organism in Eukaryota, Metazoa, Chordata, Amphibia, Anura, Hylidae. The record is from RefSeq and is a predicted model, not a curated record. The transcript is spliced from 3 exons.
AUCCAGAGGAACUAAACUUUGCAAAAAAAACAGGCUUUCAACCGCAUUAGUCAUGAAAUGAUGCUACUAGGCAAGUUGUGCUUCUGCCACAACACCCACAGGGAGAAAACCACCACUGUAGGAUGGGCUGAGCAUGCAUGUGUAUGAAGAGAUCUGGAGAUAUAGCUGUCAGCUAACAGCUAUCUUAUGUGUAUAACCAGUUUUACAUAGUUUUAUCAGAUAUGAGAAAACUUAAGAAAAGGCGGAAGGCACUAACAUUGAAAAGCCUAAUCUGUCAGUAAAGACUUUAACCAUCUUCUGUGUGAAGAGGAGACAAGGAAGUUGAAAUAAGUGGGAACCUACCCCUGCGAUUUCCUGGUCGGCCGCGGUUCUCUGUUUGAACGAUGCUGUGUUCAACACCGCACAACACUGUAUCUCUCCUAUAUUGAUACAUCAUGGAGAGGACAUGUCAGCCACAGCUUUUUGCCAUGUUUUUUUUAUACUGGAUUACUCCUUUAAAAUGUUAGUGUCAUUAGUAAGAAAAUUGAAAAAAUGCUCAAGUCAGUGUAGUAAUGUGCCCUAAGACCUGUAUGCAUAAUAAUAUGCAUGUUUUUAUAUGUAAAAUACCUUUUGAUCCAUGUCUUACUAUGCUCACCCAUUUUGCACUACUCCUGGAGGCUGGGGGUGUUUCUUCAGAUCCAUGCUUACUCCUUUCUUGCCCCCUCCCUCUUGUAUUGAGGUCUGCACAAACAUUUUUACACAUGCAAAGCUUUGAGCCUAAAGUGUAUGCUUUUUAUAAGCCUAAUGCAGCCAUGUGAGCCUAAUGUUACAAAUAUGCAAGAAAAACCUUCUUUUGAAUACAGUUCUGGCUUUGGCUCAAAAACUGCAGUGGCAAAA